Molecule: non-coding RNA, 465 nt
Organism: Passer domesticus (house sparrow)
Lineage: Eukaryota; Metazoa; Chordata; Aves; Passeriformes; Passeridae
Source: the annotation of a RefSeq genome assembly
AUGUCGAAACUGCCGAAAUCAAACCCAGACCCUCGGCAGAGGAGGCGCAGGGACCUCCUGGGGGGGCUCCGGGCGGCCGUGACCCUGCUGGAGUCCGGGGGGGACCUCCAGCCCCCCGCGGAGUCCCUGCGCCUCCUCUGCCGAGGGUCUGGGUUCGAUUUUGGGGGUUUUGACAUGGAAUGGGUGCGCCAGAGACCCGGGCAGGGGCUGGAGUGGAUCGCGUACAUCAGUAACAAUGGUGGCACCACCAGAUACGCGCCGUCGGUGCAGGGCCGCUUCACGAUCUCCAGGGACAACGGGCAGAGCUCGGUGACGCUGACCAUGAACAACCUCAAGGACGAGGAUUCCGGAUCCUAUUUCUGUGCCAAGGGUGCUUAUGCUGGUACUUGGGGUGCUGCUGCUUAUGUUGAAGGUGCCAGUGGUGCAUUCCUGGCCCCAUCUCACUGUCCCCACCUGUCCCCAUAG